Molecule: long non-coding RNA, 1112 nt
Filed under: Salmo salar (Atlantic salmon)
Lineage: Eukaryota; Metazoa; Chordata; Actinopteri; Salmoniformes; Salmonidae
Description: lncRNA (ENSSSAG00000106964.1)
Source: RNAcentral
UAGUCAAAUAUCACCCCUCCCCUAGUCAAAUAUCACCCCUCCCCUAGUCAAAUAUCACCCCUCCCCUAGUCAAAUAUCACCCCUCCCCUAGUCAAAUAUCCACCUCCCCUAGUCAAAUAUCCCCCCUCCCCUAGUCAAAUAUCACCCCUCCCCUAGUCAAAUAUCACCCCUCCCCUAGUCAAAUAUCCCCCCCUCCCCUAUCAAAUAUCACCCCGUCCCCUAGUCAAAUAUCACCCCACCCCUAGUAAAAUAUCUCCCCUCCCCUAGUCAAAUAUCACCCCUCCCCUAGUCAAAUAUCACCCCUCCCCUAGUCAAAUAUCCCCCCUCCCCUAGUCAAAUAUCCCCCCUCCCCUAGUCAAAUAUCACCCCGUCCCCUAGUCAAAUAUCACCCCACCCCUAGUCAAAUAUCACCCCUCCCCUAGUCAAAUAUCACCCUCCCCUAGUCAAAUAUCACCCCUCCCCUAGUCAAAUAUCCCCCCUCCCCUAGUCAAAUAUCCCCCCUCCCCUAGUCAAAUAUCCCCCCUCCCCUAGUCAAAUAUCAACCUGCACUAGUCAAAUAUCCCCCCUCCCCUAGUCAAAUAUCACCCCUCCCCUAGUCAAAUAUCACCCCUCCCCUAGUCAAAUAUCACCCCUCCCCUAGUCAAAUAUCACCCCUCCCCUCGUCAAAUAUCAACCUGCACUAGUCAAAUAUCCCCCCUCCCCUAUCAAAUAUCCCCCCUCCCCUAGUCAAAUAUCACCCCUCCCCUAGUCAAAUAUCCCCCCUCCCCUAGUCAAAUAUCCCCCCUCCCCUAGUCAAAUAUCCCCCCUCCCCUAGUCAAAUAUCACCCCUCCCCUAGUCAAAUAUCAACCUGCACUAGUCAAAUAUCACCCCUCCCCUAGUCAAAUAUCCCCCCUCCCCUAGUCAAAUAUCCCCCCUCCCCUAGUGAAAUAUCCCCCCUCCCCUAGUGAAAUAUCACCCCUCCCCUAGUCAAAUAUCCCCCCUCCCCUAGUCAAAUAUCCCCCCUCCCCUAGUCAAAUAUCCCCCCUAGUGAAAUAUCACCCCUCCCCUAGUCAAAUAUCCCCCCUCCCCUAGUCAAAUAUCACCCCUCCCCUAGUCAAAUAUCCCCCUCCCC